Molecule: ribosomal RNA, 497 nt
Filed under: uncultured bacterium
Lineage: Bacteria
Description: partial 16S ribosomal RNA
Rfam family: Bacterial small subunit ribosomal RNA
Source: RNAcentral
GAUGAACGCUGGCGGCGUGCCUAAUACAUGCAAGUCGAGCGAACAGACGAGGAGCUUGCUCCUCUGACGUUAGCGGCGGACGGGUGAGUAACACGUGGAUAACCUACCUAUAAGACUGGGAUAACUUCGGGAAACCGGAGCUAAUACCGGAUAAUAUAUUGAACCGCAUGGUUCAAUAGUUAAAGACGGUUUUGCUGUCACUUAUAGAUGGAUCCGCGCCGCAUUAGCUAGUUGGUAAGGUAACGGCUUACCAAGGCAACGAUGCGUAGCCGACCUGAGAGGGUAAUCGGCCACACUGGAACUGAGACACGGUCCAGACUCCUCCGGGAGGCAGCAGUAGGGAAUCUUCCGCAAUGGGCGAAAGCCUGACGGAGCAACGCCGCGUGAGUGAUGAAGGUCUUCGGAUCGUAAAACUCUGUUAUUAGGGAAGAACAAAUGUGUAAGUAACUAUGCACGUCUUGACGGUACCUAAUCAGAAAGCCACGGCUAACUACGUG